CCAAAGGCUCUUUUCAGAGCCACCUCUAAGCUCAAAAAGGAGUGUG
RNAcentral lists this non-coding RNA (46 nucleotides) under Marmota monax (woodchuck). It matches the Rfam family "Histone 3' UTR stem-loop". From Rfam's summary of the family: The mRNAs of metazoan histone genes lack a poly-A tail. 3' end processing occurs at a site between a highly conserved stem-loop (modelled by this family) and a purine rich region around 20 nts downstream (the histone downstream element, or HDE). Lineage: Eukaryota; Metazoa; Chordata; Mammalia; Rodentia; Sciuridae. The record is from RNAcentral.